This 404-nucleotide ribosomal RNA is filed under the name Fusobacteriota bacterium. RNAcentral describes it as "Fusobacteria bacterium partial 16S ribosomal RNA". It matches the Rfam family "Bacterial small subunit ribosomal RNA", at positions 355 to 776 of the family's 1533-position model. The record is from RNAcentral. Lineage: Bacteria; Fusobacteriati; Fusobacteriota.
UGGGGAAUAUUGCACAAUGGAGGGAACUCUGAUGCAGCGACGCCGCGUGAGUGAUGAAGGAAUUCGUUUCGUAAAACUCUGUUCUAUGGGAAGAAAAGGACUGUACCAUAGGAGAAAGCUCCGGCUAAAUACGUGCCAGCAGCCGCGGUAAUACGUAUGGAGCGAGCGUUGUCCGGAAUUAUUGGGCGUAAAGGGUGCGCAGGCGGCUUUACAAGUUGGAUGUGAAAUAUUGUGGCUCAACCACAAACGUGCAUCCAAAACUGCAAAGCUUGAGUUAAGGAGACGUAAGUGGAAUUCCUGGUGUAGCGGUGGAAUGCGUAGAUAUCAGGAGGAAUACCGGUGGCGAAGGCGACUUACUGGACUUAAACUGACGCUCAGGCACGAAAGCGUGGGGAGCAAACAGG